RNAcentral lists this ribosomal RNA (120 nucleotides) under Oncorhynchus mykiss (rainbow trout). Lineage: Eukaryota; Metazoa; Chordata; Actinopteri; Salmoniformes; Salmonidae. The record is from RNAcentral.
GCUACGGCCACACCGGCCUGAGUACGCCUGAUUCUCGUCUGAUCUCGGAAGCUAAGCAGGGUCGGGCCUGGUUUAGUACUUGGAUGGGAGACCGCCUGGGAAUACCAGGUGCUGUAAGCU